GACGAACGCUGGCGGCGUGCCUAAUACAUGCAAGUAGAACGCUGAAGGAGGAGCUUGCUUCUCUGGAUGAGUUGCGAACGGGUGAGUAACGCGUAGGUAACCUGCCUGGUAGCGGGGGAUAACUAUUGGAAACGAUAGCUAAUACCGCAUAAGAGUAGAUGUUGCAUGACAUUUGCUUAAAAGGUGCAAUUGCAUCACUACCAGAUGGACCUGCGUUGUAUUAGCUAGUUGGUGGGGUAACGGCUCACCAAGGCGACGAUACAUAGCCGACCUGAGAGGGUGAUCGGCCACACUGGGACUGAGACACGGCCCAGACGCCUACGGGAGGCAGCAGUAGGGAAUCUUCGGCAAUGGACGGAAGUCUGACCGAGCAACGCCGCGUGAGUGAAGAAGGUUUUCGGAUCGUAAAGCUCUGUUGUAGGAGAAGAACGAGUGUGAGAGUGGAAAGUUCACACUGUGACGGUAUCUUACCAGAAAGGGACGGCUAACUACGUG
This 495-nucleotide ribosomal RNA is filed under the name uncultured bacterium. Its description in RNAcentral is "partial 16S ribosomal RNA". It matches the Rfam family "Bacterial small subunit ribosomal RNA", at positions 28 to 507 of the family's 1533-position model. The record is from RNAcentral.